AGUAACGCGUGGGUAACCUGCCCUGUACAGGGGGAGUAACAGUCAGAAAUGACUGCUAAUACCGCAUAAGACCACAGCACCGCAUGGUGCAGGGGUAAAAACUACCGGUGGUACAGGAUGGACUCGCGUCUGAUUAGCUGGUUGGUGAGGUAACGGCUCACCAAGGCGACGAUCAGUAGCCGGCUUGAGAGAGUGAACGGCCACAUUGGGACUGAGACACGGUCCAAACUCCUACGGGAGGCAGCAUG
RNAcentral lists this ribosomal RNA (248 nucleotides) under uncultured bacterium. RNAcentral describes it as "partial 16S ribosomal RNA". It matches the Rfam family "Bacterial small subunit ribosomal RNA", at positions 109 to 353 of the family's 1533-position model. The record is from RNAcentral.